Molecule: long non-coding RNA, 8122 nt
Filed under: Triticum aestivum (bread wheat)
Lineage: Eukaryota; Viridiplantae; Streptophyta; Magnoliopsida; Poales; Poaceae
Description: long non-coding RNA (TAES_LNC022413)
Source: RNAcentral
GUAACGCCCCGGUAGUUAAGCUACAGUAACCACACACUAAUGGUGCCAUGUCAUCCCAAUUAAAUUUCUAAACCUCACUUUGAUCCAAACCGAAUUCAAAUCCAAAUUGAAAAGAAAGUCAAAUUAUUAUUUCUGCAAACGGUAAAACAAAAAUGUUUACUGGGUUGCAAUAAUUCACUAACUAAUUUUCAUAAAUAAUCCAAUAUUAUCUGGAAUAUUAAAUUGCCCCUAGCUUAGUUAAAAGAGUGCCCAAAACAACCUUUUUAAUCCAUUUGUAUUUAAGCAAAAUUCAAAUGAGUUUAGUUAAGCUCCAAAAUUUUUGUGGCUUUCACAAAUAUUACGUAGUAAUUGUAGGGCAAAUUUCAUAUAUAAAAAAAUCAUUUGAUGGCACAACCUAAUACAAAAUAGGAUCUGAAAAUACAAAGAAAAGGGUAAAAGCAAAUUGGACCUAAACUAAGGUGCCACUGGGCCAUAAGUGGCCACACGGCCCAGCCCACCAAAACUUUCCCCUACCUCCCGCUACAGGAACAGAGGAUGUGCGUGGCGCACAUCCACGACGGCCAUGGCCGUGGAUGCCCUCCACGUCGCCUCCCUGGGAUUAUAACUACGUCGCCCACGAACCCUAGAUCGAGCCCAACCCCCCCUCUGGACCUCACAUCUCUCCUCCUCGCCUGGCUCUGCUCCACUACAGUAGCCGCCCGAGACCCCCGUUGCCGCCGCGUCGUCGUUGCCGUUCUCCGAGGCUUCCCCGAGCUGCUACAAGGUGGCCAGGAGCCUCCCCAACCUCGUCACCUUCACCUACGUGCCUCAAAUCGAGCAGGAACGCCACUUAGGCUCGUCAUCGCCACUUCCUCCAAUACACGGCCGCCACGGUCAUCUCUGUCUAUCUCCACCGUCGGUGCCUCCCGGCCUCGUCGAGCUCAUCCACGGCCUCCCCGGGGUGAGCCUCCGCCCGUUCCCCCCUUUCUGCCCCUCUCCCCGACGUUGUUUGUCGCCGGCCCAUGCCGCCCCAGGCUCCGGCCGUUGGCCGCGGUCACGGCGCGCCCUACGGCGCCUACACCUCGCACCACGGUCGCCCUAUGUGCGCCCCGCGCCGCCCCUGGCCGCGACCGGCCGCGUGCUGGCCGUCCUCUGGCCGCGCCUCGCGUGUGCGCGCCUGCUGCUGCUGCUGGCUCUAUGUACUGCCGGCGCUGCCGCUGUCUAUUGCUGUUGCGUUGCGGCUACCUGUCGCUGCUGCUUUGCCGCCGCCGCUGCUCACCCUCUGCUUGCUGCUCUUGCACUAUUGUGCUGCUUGGCCGCCGCUUGAUGCUUCGCCUUUUGCUGCUCUGCUUACCACUGCCGCUAGUUGCUGCAGCCGUCUGCUGCUGAUGCUUGGGCAUGGUCGUGCGUGUGUGCACAAGGUGCACGCCCGACUGUGUCUGUUGCCGGCUUAAUUAAUUAAAGAUAGAUUAGUUUAGGAUUAGAUUAGUGGAAUAAAAAGCCUAAUGUGCACAUGACAUGUGGCCCCACUAGUUUAAAUUACUUUAGACUAAUUAAAUUGACCCUGUGACACUUACAUAUGGGCCACACCUCUCCUUUUGACUAGUCAAAUUGACUUGGUCAAUUCGAAUUAAAAGUAAUUUAGAAAAUCUAGAAUAUUGAUAAGACUUAAAGAAAAUCAUAGAAAAUUAUCCGUAACUCGGAUGAAAAAACUUUGUACAUGAAAGUUGCUCAGAACGACGAGAAGAAUCCGGAUACGCAGCCCGUUCGUCCGCCACACAUCCCUAGCAUAGCAAACUCGCAACUUUUCUCCUCCGGUCCAUUUGUCCGAAAAUGCGAAACGCCGGGAAUACUUUCCCGGAUGUUUCCCCCUUCGCCGGUAUCACCUAAUACCACGUUAGGUCACCCCUAGCACCGCAUAUUGCCGCGUCUUGCUUUGUGUUACAUUUGAUUGCUUUGUUAUUUAUUGUGUUCCCCCUUCGUUACAUCUUUCCGGUAGACUCUGAGACUGGUGCCGAUGUCCGUGUGUUCGACUACACCGAAGAUGACCCCUCCUUGCCAGAGCAACCAGGAAAGCCCCCCCUUUGAUCACCAGAUAUCGCCUAUUCUUCUCUCUAUUGCUUGCAUUAGAGUAGUGUAGUAUGUUACUGUUCGGUUACUCCUAUUCUGUUGCAUAGCCUGUCAUUGUUGCUACAGUCAUUGAUACCUUACCCGCAAUCCUAAAUGCAUAGUAUAGGAUGCUAGUUUAUUAUCAUUUGCCCUACAUUCUUUUCAGUCUGCCUUGCUAUACUAUUGGGCCGUGAUCACUCGGGAGGUGAUCACGGGUAUAUACUAUACAUAUAUACAUACUAUACAGAUGGUGACUAAAGUCGGGUCAGCUCGUUGAGUACCCGCAAGUGAUUCCGAUGUGGGGGCUGGAAGGACAGGUGGCUCCAUCCCGGUAGAGGUGGGCCUGGGUUCCUGACGGCCCCCGACUGUUACUUUGUGGCGGAGCGACAGGGCAGGUUGCGACCACCUAGGAGAGAGGUGGGCCUGGCCCUAUUCGGCGUUCGCGGUUACUUAACACGCUUAACGAGAUCUUGGUAUUUGAUCUGAGUCUGGCUACUGGCCUAUACGCACUAACCAACUACGCAGGAACAGUUAUGGGCACUCGGCGUCGUGGUAUCAGCCGAAGCCUUUGUGACGUCAGCGACUGAGCGGCGCGCGCCGGGUUGGACUACGUUAACACAACUUCCUUUGUAAUGGAGGUUGCUAGGUCUGCUUCCGGCCGCGUACGCAACGUGAAGGUGUGCCAUGGGCGAUGGGCCCAGACCCCUGCGCGCAUAGGAUUUAGACCGGCGUGCUGAUCUCUCUGUUGUGCCUAGGUGGGGCUGCGAUGUGUUGAUCUUCUGAGGCCGGGCAUGACCCAGGAAAGUGUGUCCGGCCAAAUGGGAUCGAGCGUGUUGGGUUAUGUGGUGCACCCCUGCAGGGAAGUUUAUCUACUCGAAUAGCCGUGUCCCUCGGUAAAAGGACGACCCGGAGUUGUACCUUGACCUUAUGACAACUAGAACCGGAUACUUAAUAAAACACACCCUUCCAAGUUCCACAGACAACUCGGUGAUUGCUUUUCCAUAGGGCGACGAGGGGAGGAUCGCCGGGUAGGAUUAUGCUAUGCGAUGCUACUUGGAGGUCUUCAAUCUACUCUCUUCUACACGCUGCAAGAUGGAGGUGGCCAGAAGCAUAGUCUUCGACAGGAUUAGCUAUCCCCCUCUUAUUCUGGCAUUUUGCAGUUCAGUCAACCGAUAUGGCCCUUUACACAUAUACCCAUGCAUAUGUAGUGUAGCUCCUUGCUUGCGAGUACUUUGGAUGAGUACUCACGGUUGCUUUUCUCCCUCUUUUCCCCUUUCCCUUCUACCUGGUUGUCGCAACCAGAUGCUCGAGCCCUGGAGCCAGACGCCACCGUCGAUGACGACUACUACACUGGAGGUGCCUACUACUACGUGCAGGCUGCUGACGACGACCAUGAGUAGUUUAGGAGGAUCCCAGGCAGGAGGCCUGCGCCUCUUUCGAUUUGUAUCCCAGUUUGUGCUAGCCUUCUUAAGGCAAACUUGUUUAACUUAUGUCUGUACUCAGAUAUUGUUGCUUCCGCUGACUCGUCUAUGAUUGAGCACUUGUAUUCGAGCCCUCGAGGCCGCUGGCUUGUAUUAUGAUGCUUGUAUGACUUAUUUUAUUUGUAGAGUUGUGUUGUGAUAUCUUCCCGUGAGUCCCUGAUCUUGAUUGUACACGUUUGCGUGUAUGAUUAGUGUACGAUUGAAUCGGGGCGUCACAAGUUGGUAUCAGAGCCGACUGCCUGUAGGAAUCCCCUUUCCAACUCCUUGGCCGAAGUUGAGUCUAGAAGCCGAAAACUGUUUUGUUAACUUGGCUGUGUGGCUUACGGGCCCACGUCGCCAUUGGGUGGUAUUAGGAUCUUUUACUCCUCGACCUUUACUUCGGGACUCUGAUCUCUCCUAUAUUCGGGUUAAAUUAUUUUAAUAACACCGACUCUAGGUUCUCGUAACUACUUCCUCCCAGAGACCCCUCACUCUAGAUGAUUGCUUGGAGCAUCGAAGGAUUCCAAAGAUACACUCUGAUGUUCUCUCGAGACUUUGUGCCUGUUGCUUUUGCAAUUCCCUACCAGCGAAAUAUCCCUAUGGAUAAAUACAUACACCUGUCUUUCUUACUUUUACCCCCAGUUGAUCUUGCUCUCUAUUGAUAUGAGAAUACCUUAUGUCUACUGCCUUGUAGUUCUUUACCACAUGAAUACCCCUGCAAAUAAUUACUCACACUUAUCUGAGUAUUCAUCCAUCCCCUGUUGUUCAUAUGUUUCAUAUGAUACUUUGAAAUUCUAUCCGAUCAUUCGAGAAUCCUUUUUAAAAAUAUUGCUCUACAUAUACUUGUCUGCUUGCAUUAUGGAUGCUCCCAUAGGUCUAGCAACAUUCAUUAGUCUCAUUUGACACUGUCAUUUUGAUCCUAUUGAUUCAAACAUGAGUGCGAAUGCACGCAAUCAUCGGUUGAUUCUUUUAAAAAUAUCUUUCCGGCUCACACGUCAUUUUAAACAUGAGCUGGAUCUCGACCAAUCAAUUGCCAUCGAUUGUACCCCUAAGGCUAUUCAACUUAUCCAUCCUUGAUCAGAGUGUCUGCCUCUGAUCAUUUGAUUUGGAAACCAUAAUUUCUUUCUAUUUAAGCAUCAGACUAAUCAGGUGAUUCUUGAAUCUGAUGCCUCUGCAUUCUUUCUUCCUCUGAGUGAGUAUCGAUACUCACAUCAGCUCCGUUGUGGAUCACCUGAUCAUUGUUGGAUUGUUAUCCGACAAUGUCCUUCAUAUUCAAUCACCUUGUGAGUUCUUCCCUUGAUACUAAGUGCCUUUGGUAAAUGGUAUCAUCUGCUUGGCCAACCAUGCUAUGCUUUCGAGCUUGUGUAUUUACUUUUGAAACUUGUGGUAUAGGUUACUAAGAUGCCCGAUGGGUUGAACCUAUGCCUUCCCCUAAUCCGUGAGAGCCCGAAAGUUUUCACAAGUCAUACUCUUCCGAUGUUCUACCAGAUAAAAUUCCAACAUUACAGUUUUAUCAAAGAGAGAGGUGAAUGAAAUGAUAUGCAUUAAAGAAGUGGGAGUCGACCUUGAACUUUGUGUUCAUACCCAUGAAAAUGAUGUAGGCCGUCUCGGAAGCUUCUUGCAAAAUGAUUAUCCAGCUAUAUGAUUCUUUCGGUAUUCUUGAAAUUGAUUCCUUACAGUUAUGGUUCCGACCAUGUUGUCCUGAUCUAAUAUAUCUGAUGGGAAUUCAUUCCAGUGCCUCGUCUAUUUUUGGCAAGGUUGAAGUAUCUAAUGUCAUAGGUCAAUGACCCGGUUCUACUUCUAUCAUGUUCUACCUUCGAGUAUUACCCCCUAGUAUCUCGAAGAUGUCUUGCCAUUGCACCACAUCUUAAUAACUUUGUUGAAGUAAUGUCUCUCCUUGUCGUAAUCACUCUAUGGGUUCUGGGUUGUUGUCAACCAAGGACACCGACUAGUGAAAUUAUUCCGCAAUACAAAUCAAAUACCCCUAGCAUUUUUACUAGGAAAUUCUGAACCCAAUCUGGUCAUUCCUAGACUAUCGGAUGCAUCCUGGUCUUGCUAUCUUUAACUGUGCUACCUCGUCCUUCACUGGUGCAUGAAUUCUUCAGUGUGUGAGCAUGACUUACAUCGAGCUUUCAACAUCAUGUUGCUUGUCUUGAAAGGCAACUUUGGUUCCGAGCUUGCAUCUUAUAUAUUGAUUCUAUAACUUGCCACUUCGUCAUUUCCUUUCUUGUUGUUGUUGUUGAUUGAUUGCAUCCUCUUGAAACCUCCCGGCAAAUGUGUCAGAUCACCUUCAACACUUUGACUUCUUUCGAGAUGUCAACUGUGUUCAUGAUGAGAAAUACCCUCCUUGCCCUCGAUGAUUUUUUUUAUCAUCGACAACACCCUUGACUUCCUUUCAUCACGAACUUGUCCACAUUAUGAAUACAACUUGCUCUCCAGCUAGUGUUGUGUUCUGCCUUAAAGUAUUACUGUCUUUUAUGUCGAGAAUGUUGUGGGGAUUGCUCCACCUCUUAGAAAUUCUCGGUAUGAUGAUACUUCUCACCAUCACCAUUCUUCCUUGGUCUCCGUGUUGUUUUUAACCGGGAUACCAAUAUACUAACGAUGUUGCUUGAGUUCUGUACUUCUAACAACCCUAUUGCUUUGAAGUUAACGAUCGACAGUUCGUUCUUAGACUGUUGGUUAUUGAAUCGUCACUCUAACAUUGAUCUUGCUUCCUAAGGUCAUAUUUCGGGCACACCUUUAAACUAAUGAUUGAUGGUGUAUGUUUUCCUCGAGCAUACAACAUUAUAUCAUUUGAAUUGAUAAGUGUCAUCUUCUUGUUCACAUUAUUAUGGAAAUCUAUCCAGUUGGAAUUCUCGAUGAAUUGUUGCUGAGUCCAUCAGCCACCUCCUCAUCCCCUCCUUGGUUUAGUGAUGAACUAUUGUUUCGGGAACCCACUCCCAUAGUUCAUUUCCCGAGAAUCUUGCAUUGUCAUUUCGUCGAUUUGUGUCGCAGCUUUUCUUCUCGGACAUCCUGAGUCUGAGAUACCCUGACUCCAAUCAAAUCUGAAUUUUAGUCAGAUGGCUGGGACAUAUUUCCAAGAGUUAUAACAUUGGUCUAUAUAUGACCCGGUAAGGUGAUGUCAUGCCUAGCACACCUGGCCGGAGGCUCUAUAGUUAUAGUUUUCCCUUUCAGCCAGGUUAAACACUCUUCCAUGAGGAAAUUGUAAGACUUAUUCUACCAGUUGUUCCUGAUGAAUCCUUUGUGUGUAUGCAAAGUCCGACCUUUGCUUGAAGACCAUGUCAAUGCUAUAUCGAAGCAUGUAUGUGGUACUCCGGUUUUCAAUAAGAACUUUUGAAGCCCAAUGCUAAAUGUUUCCUGCUCAAUUAUCCAAACACCAUUGUAUGGGUAAUGUCAUGAAAUUUCUCUCCUCUUAUGUAAAGGGUUUUCUACAUUAUAUCUUGUCUUGGAUAUCAUCCUCUGCUUGACUUUGGGAAGGAUAUACCCCUGAUAUAUGUGUUUAAACACAUUUUCCUUUCCGUUGUUUUGUUUAAACUUUCUUAUAAUCUACUUAACUGAGCAGUGGUAAUUCCCUGCUUAGGUAAGCACCUCGUGGUACAACUCUGCCAGUAAGACCCUAUUACUAUAAUUGAUGACAUAUCGGUAGCCACCGAUGGACGAGAACUUUGCCUAAUGGUCCGCCUCGUUCAACGAGCAGGAAAAUGGUUCUCUUUGUCCCUUGCCUUUGGUAUCGACAUUGUUGCCAACAUAACUGAUAGGCUUCCCUCUGACAUGCCUUACUAUCAUGACCGUGCAAGAUGUCACCGCCCUUCCUACUUUAACCCACAUGGUGGGCCCAUAACCCACAGUUCCAUAGGAUCAAAACCUGACUCUCCUAUACACCCCUGUUUCCAAAGUUAUUCCUCACGCUUGCCAUGUGAUCCUCAAUUCUGGUAUUAAACACAAUACUUGUUUCCGUUGCUUUGAACCCCUUUCACACUCUGUUUCAGGCAACAAACGAUUGCCUACCCGCUUGAAACUUCUCAUGGUACCUCCUUACUUUACUCUCGAUAUUUUCUUAAGUUUUAGUUCAAGAGUUACUUUCCGCCACCUUCCCCGAUGUUAGCUACCAGAUAGUCAACCUUGCAGAGGUCCGUUCUCCCGGAAUAUACCCACCCUUUAUUCUUUCAUAAGUACGAUGGAGUUCCCGAAGAAAGGAUGCCGACUUCAUCAGGAUGACCUGGAGCAGAGAAAUAAAGACAUCAACGUAAUGGAUCGACCUCUUCGAGAAGAGCAACCAAGACCGAGAAGAUCUGUUAGAAUUUCACAACCACAAAUUUCCCCCUUACACCACCUCUUAAAUCUCGGGACGAGAUUUCUUGUAGUGGAGGAGAUUUGUAAGCCCCGGUAGUUAAGCUACAGUAACCACACACUAAUGGUGCCAUGUCAUCCCAAUUAAAUUUCUAAACCUCACUUUGAUCCAAACCGAAUUCAAAUCCAAAUUGAAAAGAAAGUCAAAUUAUUAUUUCUGCAAACGGUAAAACAAAAAUGUUUGCUGGGUUGCAAUAAUUCACUAACUAAUUUUCAUAAAUAAU